This 253-nucleotide ribosomal RNA is filed under the name uncultured bacterium. RNAcentral's name for it is "partial 16S ribosomal RNA". It matches the Rfam family "Bacterial small subunit ribosomal RNA", at positions 524 to 776 of the family's 1533-position model. The record is from RNAcentral.
UACGAAAGGUGCAAGCGUUACUCGGAAUCACUGGGCGCAAAGCGCACGUAGGCGGACUCGCAGGUCAAUUGUGAAAUACCUGGGCUCAACCCGGGAACUGCAGUUGAAACCGCUUGUCUUGAAUACCUGAGAGGGUGGGGGAAUACCUGGUGGAGAAGUGAAAUUCGUAGAGAUCAGGUGGAACACCGGAGGCGAAGGCGCCUGCCUGGCAGUGUAUUGACGCUGAGGUGCGAAAGUGCGGGGAGCAAACAGG